RNAcentral lists this ribosomal RNA (2915 nucleotides) under Vibrio parahaemolyticus. RNAcentral's name for it is "23S ribosomal RNA". It matches the Rfam family "Bacterial large subunit ribosomal RNA". Lineage: Bacteria; Pseudomonadati; Pseudomonadota; Gammaproteobacteria; Vibrionales; Vibrionaceae. The record is from RNAcentral.
GUUGUAUGGUUAAGUGACUAAGCGUACACGGUGGAUGCCUUGGCAGUCAGAGGCGAUGAAAGACGUAGUAACUUGCGAUAAGCCCAGAUUAGGUAGUAACAACCAUUUGAGUCUGGGAUUUCUGAAUGGGGAAACCCACGUGCAUAAGCACGUAUUCUUACCUGAAUACAUAGGGUAAGGAGGCGAACCGGGGGAACUGAAACAUCUAAGUACCCCGAGGAAAAGAAAUCAACCGAGAUUCCGAAAGUAGCGGCGAGCGAAAUUGGACUAGCCCUUAAGCUUUACACGCGUUAGACGAACGGUCUGGAAAGUCCGACGAUACAGGGUGAUAGUCCCGUAGUUGACGACGUGUGUUCAGUGAAAUCGAGUAGGGCGGGACACGUGAUAUCCUGUCUGAAUAUGGGGGGACCAUCCUCCAAGGCUAAAUACUACUGACUGACCGAUAGUGAACCAGUACCGUGAGGGAAAGGCGAAAAGAACCCCUGUGAGGGGAGUGAAAUAGAACCUGAAACCGUGUACGUACAAGCAGUAGGAGCAGGCUUGUCCUGUGACUGCGUACCUUUUGUAUAAUGGGUCAGCGACUUAUAUUCAGUGGCAAGGUUAACCAUCUAGGGGAGCCGUAGGGAAACCGAGUCUUAACUGGGCGUUCAGUCUCUGGAUAUAGACCCGAAACCAGGUGAUCUAGCCAUGGGCAGGUUGAAGGUUGAGUAACAUCAACUGGAGGACCGAACCGACUAAUGUUGAAAAAUUAGCGGAUGACUUGUGGCUAGGGGUGAAAGGCCAAUCAAACCUGGAGAUAGCUGGUUCUCCCCGAAAGCUAUUUAGGUAGCGCCUCGGACGAAUACUACUGGGGGUAGAGCACUGUUAAGGCUAGGGGGUCAUCCCGACUUACCAACCCUUUGCAAACUCCGAAUACCAGUAAGUACUAUCCGGGAGACACACGGCGGGUGCUAACGUCCGUCGUGGAGAGGGAAACAACCCAGACCGCCAGCUAAGGUCCCAAAUUACUACUAAGUGGGAAACGAUGUGGGAAGGCUCAGACAGCCAGGAUGUUGGCUUAGAAGCAGCCAUCAUUUAAAGAAAGCGUAAUAGCUCACUGGUCGAGUCGGCCUGCGCGGAAGAUGUAACGGGGCUAAGUAGUAAACCGAAGCUGCGGCAAUAUACUUUUGUAUAUUGGGUAGGGGAGCGUUCUGUAAGCGGUUGAAGGUGUGUGGUAACGCAUGCUGGACGUAUCAGAAGUGCGAAUGCUGACAUGAGUAACGAUAAAGGGGGUGAAAAACCUCCUCGCCGGAAGACCAAGGGUUCCUGUCCAACGUUAAUCGGGGCAGGGUAAGUCGACCCCUAAGGCGAGGCCGAAAGGCGUAGUCGAUGGGAAACGGGUUAAUAUUCCCGUACUUCUUACAAUUGCGAUGGGGGGACGGAGAAGGCUAGGUGGGCCUGGCGACGGUUGUCCAGGUUCAAGUGCGUAGGCUUAAGAGUUAGGUAAAUCCGGCUCUUUCUAAGGCUGAGACACGACGUCGAGCAUCUACGGAUGUGAAGUCAUUGAUGCCAUGCUUCCAGGAAAAGCCUCUAAGCUUCAGAUUGUAAGGAAUCGUACCCCAAACCGACACAGGUGGUCGGGUAGAGAAUACCAAGGCGCUUGAGAGAACUCGGGUGAAGGAACUAGGCAAAAUGGUACCGUAACUUCGGGAGAAGGUACGCUCUCGACGGUGAAGUCCCUCGCGGAUGGAGCUAUUGAGAGUCGCAGAUACCAGGUGGCUGCAACUGUUUAUUAAAAACACAGCACUGUGCAAAAUCGUAAGAUGACGUAUACGGUGUGACGCCUGCCCGGUGCCGGAAGGUUAAUUGAUGGGGUUAGACUUCGGUCGAAGCUCUUGAUCGAAGCCCCGGUAAACGGCGGCCGUAACUAUAACGGUCCUAAGGUAGCGAAAUUCCUUGUCGGGUAAGUUCCGACCUGCACGAAUGGCGUAAUGAUGGCCACGCUGUCUCCACCCGAGACUCAGUGAAAUUGAAAUCGCUGUGAAGAUGCAGUGUACCCGCGGCUAGACGGAAAGACCCCGUGAACCUUUACUACAGCUUGGCACUGAACAUUGACCCUACAUGUGUAGGAUAGGUGGGAGGCUUUGAAGCACGUACGCCAGUAUGUGUGGAGCCGUCCUUGAAAUACCACCCUUGUAGUGUUGAUGUUCUAACGUCGACCCCUAAUCGGGGUUGCGGACAGUGCCUGGUGGGUAGUUUGACUGGGGCGGUCUCCUCCCAAAGAGUAACGGAGGAGCACGAAGGUGGGCUAAUCACGGUUGGACAUCGUGAGGUUAGUGCAAUGGCAUAAGCCCGCUUGACUGCGAGAAUGACAAUUCGAGCAGGUGCGAAAGCAGGUCAUAGUGAUCCGGUGGUUCUGAAUGGAAGGGCCAUCGCUCAACGGAUAAAAGGUACUCCGGGGAUAACAGGCUGAUACCGCCCAAGAGUUCAUAUCGACGGCGGUGUUUGGCACCUCGAUGUCGGCUCAUCACAUCCUGGGGCUGAAGUCGGUCCCAAGGGUAUGGCUGUUCGCCAUUUAAAGUGGUACGCGAGCUGGGUUUAGAACGUCGUGAGACAGUUCGGUCCCUAUCUGCCGUGGGCGUUGGAAGAUUGAAGGGGGCUGCUCCUAGUACGAGAGGACCGGAGUGGACGAACCUCUGGUGUUCGGGUUGUGUCGCCAGACGCAUUGCCCGGUAGCUAAGUUCGGAAUCGAUAACCGCUGAAAGCAUCUAAGCGGGAAGCGAGCCCUGAGAUGAGUCUUCCCUGAUACUUUAAGUAUCCUAAAGGGUUGUCGGAGACUACGACGUUGAUAGGUCAGGUGUGUAAGUGCUGUGAGGCAUUGAGCUAACUGAUACUAAUUGCCCGUGAGGCUUAACCAUACAACACCCAAGGGGUUU